UUAGAGUUUGAUCCUGGCUCAGGAUGAACGCUGGCGGCGUGCCUAAUACAUGCAAGUAGAACGCUGAAGGAGGAGCUUGCUCUUCUGGAUGAGUUGCGAACGGGUGAGUAACGCGUAGGUAACCUGCCUGGUAGCGGGGGAUAACUAUUGGAAACGAUAGCUAAUACCGCAUAACAGUAGAUGUUGCAUGACAUCUACUUGAAAGGUGCAAUUGCAUCACUACCAGAUGGACCUGCGUUGCAUUAGCUAGUUGGUGAGGUAACGGCUCACCAAGGCGACGAUACAUAGCCGACCUGAGAGGGUGAUCGGCCACACUGGGACUGAGACACGGCCCAGACUCCUACGGGAGGCAGCAGUAGGGAAUCUUCGGCAAUGGACGGAAGUCUGACCGAGCAACGCCGCGUGAGUGAAGAAGGUUUUCGGAUCGUAAAGCUCUGUUGUAAGAGAAGAACGAGCGUGAGAGUGGAAAGUUCACACUGUGACGGUAUCUUACCAGAAAGGGACGGCUAACUACGUGCCAGCAGCCGCGGUAAUACGUAGGUCCCGAGCGUUAUCCGGAUUUAUUGGGCGUAAAGCGAGCGCAGGCGGUUAGAUAAGUCUGAAGUUAAAGGCUGUGGCUUAACCAUAGCACGCUUUGGAAACUGUUUAACUUGAGUGCAAGAGGGGAGAGUGGAAUUCCAUGUGUAGCGGUGAAAUGCGUAGAUAUAUGGAGGAACACCGGUGGCGAAAGCGGCUCUCUGGCUUGUAACUGACGCUGAGCUCGA
This 764-nucleotide ribosomal RNA is filed under the name uncultured bacterium. Its description in RNAcentral is "bacterial SSU rRNA". It matches the Rfam family "Bacterial small subunit ribosomal RNA", at positions 1 to 756 of the family's 1533-position model. The record is from RNAcentral.